UGGGAAUUUUGGACAAUGGGCGAAAGCCUGAUCCAGCCAUGCCGCGUGCAGGAUGAAGGCCUUCGGGUUGUAAACNGCUUUUGUACGGAACGAAAAGACUCGGUUAAUACCUGGGGUCCAUGACGGUACCGUAAGAAUAAGCACCGGCUAACUACGUGCCAGCAGCCGCGGUAAUACGUAGGGUGCAAGCGUUAAUCGGAAUUACUGGGCGUAAAGCGUGCGCAGGCGGUUAUAUAAGACAGAUGUGAAAUCCCCGGGCUCAACCUGGGAACUGCAUUUUGUGACUGUAUAGCUAGAGUACGGCAGAGGGGGAUGGAAUUUCCGCGUGUAGCAGUGAAAUGCGUAGAUAUGCGGAGGAACACCGAUGGCGAAGGCAAUCCCCUGGGCCUGUACUGACGCUCAUGCACG
RNAcentral lists this ribosomal RNA (408 nucleotides) under uncultured bacterium. RNAcentral describes it as "partial 16S ribosomal RNA". It matches the Rfam family "Bacterial small subunit ribosomal RNA", at positions 356 to 755 of the family's 1533-position model. The record is from RNAcentral.